UACGUAGGUGGCAAGCGUUAUCCGGAUUUAUUGGGCGUAAAGGGAACGCAGGCGGUCUUUUAAGUCUGAUGUGAAAGCCUUCGGCUUAACCGGAGUAGUGCAUUGGAAACUGGGAGACUUGAGUGCAGAAGAGGAGAGUGGAACUCCAUGUGUAGCGGUGAAAUGCGUAGAUAUAUGGAAGAACCCCAGUGGCGAAAGCGGCUCUCUGGCCUGUAACUGACACUGAGGCUCGAAAGCGUGGGGAGCAAACAGG
This 253-nucleotide ribosomal RNA is filed under the name uncultured bacterium. RNAcentral's name for it is "partial 16S ribosomal RNA". It matches the Rfam family "Bacterial small subunit ribosomal RNA", at positions 524 to 776 of the family's 1533-position model. The record is from RNAcentral.